RNAcentral lists this ribosomal RNA (230 nucleotides) under uncultured bacterium. Its description in RNAcentral is "partial 16S ribosomal RNA". It matches the Rfam family "Bacterial small subunit ribosomal RNA", at positions 561 to 790 of the family's 1533-position model. The record is from RNAcentral.
UAAAGCGUGCGCAGGCGGUUUUGUAAGUCUGUCGUGAAAUCCCCGGGCUCAACCUGGGAAUGGCGAUGGAGACUGCAAGGCUAGAGUUUGGCAGAGGGGGGUAGAAUUCCACGUGUAGCAGUGAAAUGCGUAGAUAUGUGGAGGAACACCGAUGGCGAAGGCAGCCCCCUGGGUCAAGACUGACGCUCAUGCACGAAAGCGUGGGGAGCAAACAGGAUUAGAUACCCAGU